UUCAGGCACUUAACUUCUAACACUAGUGCGUUCUCCUAUCUACACAACUGGUCUUGCGGGCACCUGGCAUAUCUAUUUUCUCUUGCCAGGGAAUGGGGAACACCCCAGGGCAGGGACUCUCUCCACAGCCUUGAGGUGGAGCCCAAUUCUGAGCUGCGUAUUCGUGACCAAGGGCAAAGAGCUGGCUCUCAUCUUUCAGGGGACACAGUGGACAGAGAGAGUGUGCUGUCUGGGAAGGACGGAGUCCCGGAGGGCCAUCCCUGACCAUUUCUGCCAGUCCCAGGGUCAGGGCCCUUGCAGAGGCGGCCCUUGUCUUCACCUGGGCAGGGCUGUGGGGAGAGGGCGGCACUCUCCAGGCCUCCCAGCUGCACCCCUGCCAGACAGAGAACGCUUGCGAGGCACGCCAGGUGCGACCAAGUGCACCAGAUUCGAAAAACUUAGCCAAACCGCCCUAGGUUUGGGGCCGCGGGCAGCAGCAGAGGAGUCUGAUAGGUAAGAAGGGUCAAUUGAGAGUUCCUCCCUGCUGGGCUCAGCUCUAGGAGGACUCAGACUGACCCAGUGAUGGCCCACAUUGAACUGGAGAAUCUUGGACCAGAUUUUGGAGGGCUUUGAUUCUGCACAUGCUGGGUGAGGUGUCAGAAAAAUAUGACUUACCACUAGCAAAAAUAUCCCUUCACUUUCUUGAGGAGGAGGCAAAAGGCAAAACACAGAAAGGGGGUGAGUAAUUGGUCUUGAACAAUCAAAGGUAAAUAAUUUUGCUCUGGGUAGCCCUGACUUUUUGGGAAAAGGAGUAGUCUUUUAUAAGUGUUCCCAAAGGUAAAGACUUAUACAUAUGAAGACACAGAUGGAAAUCUGUCAUUCCGUGGGAAAAAGAAGUUAACACACCAAAAAGCACGCUAGCUCUGACCUUUGUUUCCCAGAGCAAGGUGUCCUCAGAAAGCUGGGUGGCAUAGGAUGACCUUCUGGUGAUUGCCUGUUUGGCUGAAUCACCUGUCGGAGGGCGGCGCUCUUCAGGCCUGACAUUGGCUUAUCCUACUUGAAGCAGGCUUGAACACAAAUCAUGCCUACUCAUGAGUAUUUGAACACUGAGCUUUCUCACAGGUCAGUGUUUCCUUCAACUAAUCACAGACCUCAGACCGCCCAUACCCAUCUGUGAAGGAUGGAAGUUGAUGGUAGGUGAGGAUACUGAGUCUCAGAAAGGUUAAGUGAGUUGCCCGAACUUACAGUACUACUAAGUGGAGAAGCCGACUUUUGGAUCUCAUGGACCGCACAUCUAUUCCAGGUGUGGACGCUUAGCCAAUAAGCUAUAAUGCCUCCCAGGAGAGGAUGUGCUUUGAGGUGACCCUUGAACAUGGGUAGAAUUGGGAUAAUCAGAGAUAAGGAAGGACAAUGUGGAGUUCCUGUCCUGGCUGGAGGAAACGAAUCUGACUAGUAUCCA
This is a long non-coding RNA of Phacochoerus africanus (Common warthog), 1438 nucleotides long. RefSeq lists it as uncharacterized. The record is from RefSeq and is a predicted model, not a curated record. NCBI's taxonomy places the organism in Eukaryota, Metazoa, Chordata, Mammalia, Artiodactyla, Suidae. The transcript has 4 exons.